UACGUAGGGUGCAAGCGUUGUCCGGAAUUAUUGGGCGUAAAGAGCUCGUAGGCGGUUUGUCGCGUCGAAUGUGAAAACCCCGGGGGCUCAACCCCCGGGCCUGCAUUCGAUACGGGCAGACUAGAGUUCGGUAGGGGAGUCUGGAAUUCCUGGUGUAGCGGUGAAAUGCGCAGAUAUCAGGAGGAACACCGGUGGCGAAGGCGGGACUCUGGGCCGAUACUGACGCUGAGGAGCGAAAGCGUGGGGAGCAAACAGG
Molecule: ribosomal RNA, 256 nt
Filed under: uncultured bacterium
Lineage: Bacteria
Description: partial 16S ribosomal RNA
Rfam family: Bacterial small subunit ribosomal RNA
Source: RNAcentral